GACGAACGCUGGCGGCGUGCUUAACACAUGCAAGUCGAACGGAAAGGCCCUUCUUUUGUGGUGUGCUCGAGUGUCUAACGUGUGUGUAUCACGUGAGUAUCCUUCCCGUGACUUUGGGAUAACUUCAGGAAACGGGGGCUAAUACCGGAUAGCAGCUCCUGCUGCAUGGGGGGACUUGGAAAGUUUCGGCGGUGGGGGAUGGACUCGCGGCUUAUCAGCUUGUUGGUGGGGUAGUGGCUUACCAAGGCUUUGCCGGGUAGCCGGCCUGAGAGGGUGACCGGCCACAUUGGGACUGAGAUACGGCCCAGACUCAUACGGGAGGCAGCAGUGGAGAAUAUUGCACAAUGGGAGGAAGCCUGAUGCAGCAAAGCCGCGUGCGGGAUGACGGCCUUCGGGUUGUAAACCGAUUUCGCCUGUGACGAAGCGUGAGUGACGGUAAUGGGUAAAGAAGCACCGGCUAACUACGUG
RNAcentral lists this ribosomal RNA (468 nucleotides) under uncultured bacterium. RNAcentral describes it as "partial 16S ribosomal RNA". It matches the Rfam family "Bacterial small subunit ribosomal RNA", at positions 28 to 507 of the family's 1533-position model. The record is from RNAcentral.